AUUGGGCUCUCUUCAUUUCCCUUUAAAUAAGGAGGACUGAUGGGACUGGCGAGUCUCCUGUUUGAUCAGGAGCAAUUUUAAAAAGCUACUAGGGUGGACCAUCUUUGAAGAUGUAAUUACCUCAUAAGUUCUAUUUAGAUUGUCUGUAUUUAUCUAUGUUUUUCAAAAAUAAUCAAAGUAAUAUAUGCUUGUGGUAAUUCAAAUAAUGCUGAAAAAUACAAAAUAAAAGUUUCUCUCCUGCCCAGCCUAAUCUUACUUCCUAAGGAUAACCAUUAUCAAGAGUUUAUUAUAUAUUUUUCUAGAUGUAUUUUUAUGUCUGUACAAACAUCUGUGUAUAUAUUUAUUAUAAAUACACACAUAUAGUAUUUUUCCCACAAAAAAUGAGCUCUAUUAAUUUACCAAAGACUUAUAUUUCCAUUCCCAUCCCAUCAUUCAUCAAUUUGUCAUGGAUUAUUCUCCAAGGCAGCCCAAACAGAUCUAACUCAUGUUUUAAAUGACCAUAUACUGUGUUAUGUAGUAAAUCAAAAUUUAUUUGGUAAUUACCCUAUUGUUGGUAAUUUAGAUCAUUGCCAAUUUCUCCUAUUUGAUAAUUCAGCAAAGAGCGACAUGACAUAUAUAAUUUACACACUUCUAUAAUUGCUUCUCAAGGAUAGAUUCUAGAAGUAAAUUCGCCAGGUCAGGGAAUUUAAGUAUUCCCAGUGCAUAAAAGUGCCUAUUUGCCCGAACCUACUAAAACAAGUAAAAAGAAAUUUAAAUGACUAAUAAUAGAGACACAAAUGAAAUAAUUAUGGUGCUAUAAUAGAUUAGUUAUAUGAUAUUAAUAGAUACAUUAUUGCAUAAAUACUAAAAUAUUAAGCUUAAAGGAAGUUUUAAAUGUGAAAAUGUUUAUAACAUACAGGGUAAAUAGUAGAAUGCUUUGUAUAUAAAAUUAUGUGUGUAUAAUUUCUACUACUAGUUCCUACUACUAGUUAUGUGUGUAUAAUUUCUACUACUAGUUUCAUUGCUGAAACUAGUAGUGUGACAUAAUUAUGUUUCCUUUCCUUUCCCCUGGAGCCAAUAAUUUUGUCAAUUAUUCAUUCACUUGUCUUCUAAAUGCGAUUUCACAUAUUCCAAUGCUUGUCAGAUAAUCUGAGUGCCAUUUUGAAUUUAUUUCCAGAAAUCUUUACUCUCCUGCUCCAAUCUUGACUGGUUGCCUUGUAGUUCCAUUUUAUGCUUCGUUACUCUGGCACUUUCUUUUGAUAUUUUCCUGGGAAAUCUCCUCAGCUGUCUUCUCUGUGGAAGCCCAUGUUUCCAGAAUCCUAGCUUCUUCUUUACUGAUUUUCUCCCUAUUUGAGAAUUUACAUGCCUGAAAAUGGCUUUGAAUCUGUAGCAUAUUCUCAGGGGUCAUUCAGUUUCUGUCUUGAAAGUUUCUCAAAGUCUUGUCCCUGGGAUGUGUGUGUGUCUGGCUGCGAGUAUUUGGGGACAGGGAAUGAGGGCUGGCAGGGAUUGGGGGUGUGUUUCUCUGGUAAAUAUAUAGAUUCCACCUAAUCCACCUAUUUUCAGUCCCAUAUCUCCUCUUGAAUCUUUCUGUUCCCAUUGUCUGUAAGCCUAAAUUCUUUGUGAUUCAUGUUCUGUAAGGAAUAAAUCUCAAGUCUGAGAAUUUGGAAGGGGAUGUUGAGGCUUUUCAGGGUCUAACCACCUCUUACACAGAAUUUCCAAUGAUUCUCUUAAUUCCAGACCUGGGCUUUGUACUCCCUUUCUGCAAAACCCAAUUCUUGAGCCUUUGCAGCUUGGUUCUGUUUCCUCCUUCUAAAGAAACAGGUUCAGCUUCCUCUAUUCCCCUGAGUAAUCAAGCUUUCCAUCCUCCAAAAUACACUGAUGUUUCCUGACCCCCUGUGUCUUCUCUCCUGUAAUUUUGAUUCUUUUAGGCCUAUAUAUUUUAAAUAUUAUUAUUGUCAUAUUAAUAGGCAUUCAGGAGAGAAUAGAAGUGAUACAUCUAUUCAAUUCACCAGGUCAAACCAGAAAUCUCCAUUUCUAUUUAAAUAAUCCUGUGGCAUUAUCUUUUUCUUUUCUUUUUCUUUCUAUUAAGAAAUUUUUUUCAAAGAUAAUUUUGGCAGAAAUAUAAGUAAUGAAUUAAGACAUUAUCUUUUAUUUCAAAACAUAGUGAUUAAAAUAAGAGUAGCAUUUUGAUUCUUUGAGCUAUUUUGAACAUGGGAUUUUUAGUUGGUCACAGAUGACUUUUUAUUGUUCCCCUGAAUAUCCCUUUCUUCCACUAUGCCUCUUCAUAAUCAGUUUGUUACAUCAGUUCAAAUGCAACAUUGCUAUGUCUCUGUGAGUAUCAUCUCUUCCUAAAUCCUUCAAUUUCUCCAAAAUUACAUUUCUCAGGAAAUUCACUUUAGUUGUCAUAACUUCUCCAUAUCGUUCUAUUUGUGUAGAACACAGUGACUGUAGCAAAGCUGUCAGAGUAAAAACAAGACAAUAGUUAGCUUACUAGUUCUUGUACCUGUAACUCCCAGAAUUUUAUAGUGAAUUUCUUUUAAAAUCCUCCACUUGAAUAUCUGCCUUCAUCUCUGACGUUGUCUGCAUUUAGUACAGGAAGCAAGGAAAGGAGAAAGGAUAGAUAAUAUUGUGUUAAUUAAUAUGUUCAUGUUGGGCUGGGUACAUUGGCUCACGCCUAUAAUCCCAACAUUUUGGAAGAUCAGGGCCAAAGGAUUGCUUGAGGCCAGGCGUUUGAGACCAGCCUGGGCAAUGUAACAAGACUCUGUCUUUACAAAAAAUAAAAAUAAAAAAUUAGCUGGGCAUAAUGACCCAUACCUGUAGCCUAGCUACUUGGGAGGCUGAGGUGAGAGGAUUGCUUGAAACCAGGAGUUGAAGGUUACAGUGAGCUAUGAUUGCGCCACUCAACCCCAGACUGGGUGACAUAGUGAGACCUUGUCUCUAAAGAAAAGUACCAUAUUGAUAUAAAAAUAAGAUAAUGAUAAAUAGUUGAUGUAAAAUAUAAAUAAUUAAUAUUCACAAAAUUAAACACAGAAACAAGUAACCAAAAGAAUUUCCCACAUACCAACAACUAGUAUAGUAUAGUACUUUGGCAAUAUUUCUAUUAUUUUAGAGAGAUAGAUUGUCUCUAUAUACUGUUUACAUAGAAAAAGUUUCAAGUUUUGGAUACCAAACAAUUGAUGUUAUUUAAUUUUUUCACUGAAUUGACUCUUAGUGAUGUAUAAACAUCAUUAAAUUUGCUCUACUUUUCAUACUUUUUGAGUUCAGUUUCAUGCAUGGUGGGCUUAAGUUAGCUGUGUGUAUAUGCUCAUUCCUAUAAAAGAGUUGACACUGAAAAAUUAAAAUUUCACUCAAUCAUUGACUUAUAACAGUUCUUUUAUUAUAUACCUUAUAGUGAAGCUGUCCUUGAACAAACUGGCUGCUCAAUAUAUAUUUAAUUGAGUUUUUAAAAUUUGUUUAGGGAUGUUGGUACAUAAAAACUGGCAAACUAUACGGGAAGUUGUACAAGCUAGUUGUACAUAUAUCAUGUAAGAAUGAUUUUUUGUAUAAUGACUUCUUUUUCUCUGGGUAGACACACAGUAGUGAGAUUCCUGGAUCAAAUGGUAAUUCUACUUUUAGUUUUUUUUAAGGAAUCUCCACACUGCAAUUGCAAAAAUAUGGAACCAGCCCAAACACCCAUCAAUUAAUGAUUGGAUAAGGAAAUUGUGGUGUAUAUGUAUAUACCAUGGAAUACUACUCAGCCAUAAAAAGGAAUGAAUUAAUGGCAUUUACAACAACCUGGAUGGAACUGGAGACUAUCAUUCUAAGUGAAGUAACUCAGGAAUGGAAAACAAACCUCGUAUGUUCUCACUCAUAAGUGAGAGCUAAGCUACCAGGAUACAAAGGCAUAAGAAUGAUACGAUGGACUUUGGGGAUUUGGGGGAAAGUGUGGGAGAGAGGUGAGGGAUAAAAGACUACAAAUUAGGUUCAGUGUAUACUGCUCAGGUGAUGGGUGCACUGAAAUCCCACAAAUCACCACUGAAGAACUUACUCAUGUAACCAAAUACCACCUGUUUUCCAGAAACCUAUGGAAAUACAAAAUUUAAAAAGAAUUUUUUUAUUUCAUGUAUAAAUUAGAAAUGAAUUCACGUAUUCUGUACUGGAAAACUGUUAUUCUGUUAGGCAUUCUUCCAUGCACAGUCUCUAGUUAACCUACUAAAUUAUCAGCUCACUUUAUAUCUUUGACUUCCCCUAAAUAGUGUCUCCUUUCCCAACAUUUCAGAUAAGAGAAAGCUUGCUGCCCAGGCAGAAUCCCCUGAGCAGCUGCACUUGCCUCAUUCUCUGCAGCCCCGUCUGCUUUGUUGACCUUCCUCAAGACCUUUCAAUAUAAGUAUCUGAGGUUUUGUUUCCAAGUCUUUCUUCCAGACUAUGGAGUGCAGCUGAGAAAAAAAAUAUAUAUAUAAAGCUCAUUGACUCUCUAUCUAUUUCAUUCCCAACACUGGCUCAGUUUUACUCCCUAGGAAACUUCCUUACCAAUUGGUGAUGAAGAACAUUCCAAAUCUUCAUCACUUUUAUCAAGCCUAUCAUUGUGGGUAUUCUGCCUUUAUCUCUGCCCUAUCAGAGAAAAUAACAACAGCUACCAUCUAAUGAGCACUUGCUGCCAAACAUUUUACACAAAACAACACAAUAGAUCUUUUUAUUCCCUUUUUUUUUGUAGGUGAUGAACCAGAACUUCAGAGAGAAAAAGAAACAUACUCAAGGGCAUACAGCUCAUGCCUUCAUACAGCUCAUCAGACAUAUUCGAUUCAUGCCUCAUUAUCCUUUUUUCCCUUUAUUCUUUUAAAAUAUAAUAUUUGAUACAUACACAAAGAUAUAAUGUAUAAUGUACAAUCAGCCCUCAGUAUCCACAGGGAAUUGAUUCCAGAAUCCCCUGGGAUACCCAAAUCUGUGGAUGUUUGGGUUCCUUAUAUAAAAUGGUAUAGUAUUUGCAUUUCACCUGUGCAUAUUCUCUUGCAUAAUUUAAAUCAUCUCUAGGUUACUUAUAGUAACCAGUACAGUUUAAAUACUAUGUAAAUAGUCAUUUUACUGUAUUGUUUUAAAAAUUUGUGUUAUUUUUAUUGUUGUUUUAGUUUGUAUGUUUUUAAAUAUUUUUCAAUCUGUAGUCAGUUGACUCCAGGGAUGCAGAACCCAUGAAUAUGGAGGGCUGACCACAUAGAUAAUUAAAGCUAAAUAACACAAUGAAUGUUCAAAAUUCCAUCUUCUAAUGUAGAAACUAGAAUAUAACCAGCACUGUUGCACUUACCUAUGUUUUUCUCCCUUCUCUCACUCUGCGGCCUUCCCCAACUUUCUGAGCGGGAAAUUAAUAAAAUGAGUAGGAGAGUGCACAGUCCUGGAGAUAUUGCUUCACUAUGCGAAUCAAUCCUGGUCCUAGCAGUUUGGCACCACCCGGCGGUGAUUGUCCACUCCAACCUAAAUAUUGACGGGAUUGAUUCCGGGCCUGUAGUUGACUGGACGUCAGGAAAGCAGUAAUGAUUCCAGGAAAUUCCUAGCUAGAUAGUGCAAAUUUUGUUGGCCCAGUUUGGGAAUAUUGAAUGGGGCAAUUACUGAGCAAGCGGGAUUCGAACUCCACUUCUCCUGUGGAUUUUGUGCUAGUUUGCUGCCUGGCUGCCCUAUCUAUUAUGUACCCUAUUCCAUCCCCCAACCUCAGAACAAAAGCAAUAUUCCUCCUCCCUAUCUGUUCUACAUGUAGGAUAGAGUGGUGGAUGGGAGCGAAACAUCCAUUUUAUAGUUUUAGAAUUUAUGUUAUCCUGGAUAUAUUUCCAUAAGGUUAUACUAUAUUUAAGUAUUUGUAUAUAUUUUCUCUCUCCUUCCAUUAUAAUCUAGGCUUCAAAAAGGUAAGGAUUUUUAUGUUUUCUUCCCAGUGAGUAGAAGAGUCCCUAGCCUGCAGACACUCAAAAAUAGUUGUUGAAUAAGAUGAGUGAAUGAAUAUUGAAAUCUUCCAUUAUAUGGUAGAGUUGUCCAUUUCUUCCUGUAAUUCUAUCAAUUAUUGCUUUAUAUUUUUAAGGCUCUUUUAUCAAGCACAUACAAAACUGAAAUCAUUAAAGCUUCUUGGUGAACUUAGUUUUCCUUAAUAAUGUUUUGGGGUGAUUUGUUUUUGUUUUUAUAUUUUUGGUCAUAAACUUGUUUCAAUACUAAUAUUCCAUCAAGAUUUCUUUUGGUUAAUAUCUGUCAGGUAUAUCUUUUUACUAACUUUUUACUAUGUCCUUAUGUUUUAUGUCCCCGUAUUCUAAACAGUAUUUAGCUGGAUUUUUUAAAUACAACUGGACAAUCAACCAUUUAAUAGACUCUGCAUCACAAAAACGCAGGAUAUUAUAACCUACUCGGUAUUUUGGACAUCGAAGGAGAAAAGGACUAGAAGUUAUGGGAAGGUUGAGCAAAAGAGAAGGAGAAAGGAAGAGGAUGAGGAGGAGAAGGAGAAGAGAAGAGGAGGAAGAGGAGGAGGAGAAGGAGAAGGAGUACUGUGUUUCACUAGUGCAUUUUACCUUCUGCACGGUAAAUAAUUAGUACCCCCAAGCUUAUAAAUAACAGGAUGGUGUCCUCUGACUAAAAUUAGGGCUAGUUUUUAUGUUAGGAAUUUAUAAUUUCCUAAUUGCUAUUGAGAUUUCUUGCAGCAUAAACAAACAGAUGUGCUUUUAAUUAGAUUAGCCUCUUAUAAACAAAUGCGUGUCUCAAGUUCAAUCCAAUUUUUUCUUAGUUUCUUAUUGUAUGCAAGC
RNAcentral lists this long non-coding RNA (6728 nucleotides) under Homo sapiens (human). RNAcentral describes it as "HSALNT0075931". Lineage: Eukaryota; Metazoa; Chordata; Mammalia; Primates; Hominidae. The record is from RNAcentral.